This 82-nucleotide transfer RNA is filed under the name Candidatus Endomicrobiellum neotermitis. RNAcentral's name for it is "tRNA-Leu". It matches the Rfam family "tRNA". From Rfam's summary of the family: Transfer RNA (tRNA) molecules are approximately 80 nucleotides in length. Their secondary structure includes four short double-helical elements and three loops (D, anti-codon, and T loops). The record is from RNAcentral. Lineage: Bacteria; Pseudomonadati; Elusimicrobiota; Endomicrobiia; Endomicrobiales; Endomicrobiaceae.
GCGGGUGUGGCGAAAGUGGUAUACGCGUAUGGCUUAGGACCAUAUGCUGAAAAGCAUAGGGGUUCGACUCCCUUCACCCGCA